Molecule: ribosomal RNA, 487 nt
Filed under: Bacillus sp. (in: firmicutes)
Lineage: Bacteria; Bacillati; Bacillota; Bacilli; Caryophanales; Bacillaceae
Description: bacterial SSU rRNA
Rfam family: Bacterial small subunit ribosomal RNA
Source: RNAcentral
GCUCACCAAGGCAACGAUGCGUAGCCGACCUGAGAGGGUGAUCGGCCACACUGGGACUGAGACAAAAGCCCAGACUCCUACGGGAGGCAGCAGUAGGGAAUCUUCCGCAAUGGACGAAAGUCUGACGGAGCAACGCCGCGUGAGUGAUGAAGGUUUUCGGAUCGUAAAGCUCUGUUGUUAGGGAAGAACAAGUACCGUUCGAAUAGGGCGGUACCUUGACGGUACCUAACCAGAAAGCCACGGCUAACUACGUGCCAGCAGCCGCGGUAAUACGUAGUUUGCAAGCGUUGUCCGGAAUUAUUGGGCGUAAAGGGCUCGCAGGCGGUUUCUUAAGUCUGAUGUGAAAGCCCCCGGCUCAACCGGGGAGGGUCAUUGGAAACUGGGAUAUCUUGAGUGCAGAAGAGGAGAGUGGAAUUCCACGUGUAGCGGUGAAAUGCGUAGAGAUGUGGAGGAACACCAGUGGCGAAGGCGACUCUCUGGUCUGUCC